UACAAGCCUGUUGGAUGUGAUUUAGCUUGUCAUAGUUACUCUGAUU
RNAcentral lists this small nucleolar RNA (46 nucleotides) under Ceratitis capitata (Mediterranean fruit fly). RNAcentral's name for it is "small nucleolar RNA R442". It matches the Rfam family "Small nucleolar RNA R442". Lineage: Eukaryota; Metazoa; Arthropoda; Insecta; Diptera; Tephritidae. The record is from Rfam by way of RNAcentral.